This is a non-coding RNA of 46 nucleotides. It matches the Rfam family "ctRNA". From Rfam's summary of the family: This family represents a group of ctRNAs (or counter-transcribed RNAs) from p42d and related plasmids. ctRNAs are small, highly structured, antisense sequences which are involved in negative regulation. The record is from Rfam.
AGAAGGGCUUCCACGACGGUAUCGUUUUGGGGCCUUUUUCUUUUGC